Molecule: long non-coding RNA, 8681 nt
Organism: Corvus hawaiiensis (hawaiian crow)
Lineage: Eukaryota; Metazoa; Chordata; Aves; Passeriformes; Corvidae
Exons: 4
Source: RefSeq, a predicted model, not a curated record
CCCCGCGCGAUGUCCGCCCCUUCCUGGUUGCCAUGGAGACCGCUUGCCGGCGUCCCAAAAUGGCGGCGGCGGGGCCGCCGCUUUCUUCACCGCCCGGAAGGGAAGGAAGACAGACCGGCGGCCUGAAACGACAGCGGCUUUAGCGAGGGCUUGCCCUUGGGGAAGGAGCGUCUCCAUGCCUAGGCAGGACGGGGGGCCCCGUAAACCAGGAAGCGGCCCUGGAGGCGCCACCAGCAUGAGUGAAGACGAGGAGCCUCAGUAUGUGGGAGAUUCCUUCUACCUGGACUUUCCCGAGCCUGUGGGAUGCGGCUCUGGGUGAGGAACCAGAGGAAAGGAGGAAAUAAAAAUCUAUCAAAAUGGUGAGUUAGUAGCCUUGCAAAGUAGUGUAUGCACAUCGUGAUUUUGUACCCUUAAAACAGACGUAAGUACUCUCAGAAAUGCCUCACAAAUAAAUGUGGUGCUACAUUUAACGCAAAUAAACAACAAAUCCUUAAGUACUCCUUCUAAGAAAAUGUAAGUUUAGCUGCACUUUCAGGGUGAUCAGACUUAAGGCAGGGGAGUAAGCAAUAAACUUUUCUGAGAAAGUUUUUUAAAUGUCUCACUGGAACCAAAAAAAACCCCAACAUAUUUUUAAACUAGGAGGAAGUUUUCAGUUUUUUUUCAUAAAGUAAACAAAAAUAAUGGGCAUAUGUACUUCCGGGGAAGAACUACUGCACAGUAACUGGGAAAUAUGUGCUUUUCAGUAGCUGAAGUCUUGUAGUGGGCCUGUCCCACUGACCCCAUAGGAAUCCUAUGAGUGCUCUGCUUGUCUGUGGAAUGUGAUUGAGUGCUGUAGGGUCUUUGCUAUUCAUUUUUGCACUCAGAUAAUAAAAAUAAGAUGGUUCUUCUUAUUAUUACUGUUGUCAGGUUUUUGGUUCUUGUAUCUGUUUCCUGUCACACACUUCAGGUAUCUAUUCUUGGGUGUGUUUUCAGCUGCCCAAAUAUAUCCUGAAAACAAACCAAAGUCAGUUAACAUAAACCAUGCAAAAAAGCUUCAUAGCUGUCAGUGUAAGUAAGUUCAAAUUUUUCUGCAAAUGUUCAUUGUACAAAGCAUUACCAGGAAGUUGGUGUCACUGAAAAAUAAUUGGUUUGAAUUAUUUAAAAAAUUCAGCUUUGAUUUUGUGGCAACAAGAUCAUUUGAGUAUUGUGCAGUGAAUGUAUGUAUUUGAAUAUAUCACUAUAUUUUCUGAAGCUAAUGAUUCCAGAAAAACUUUGUCAUUCACUCAAAUUUUAAAUUCAGUACUCCUCAAAAGACCUUCACAUAAGCAGUGUCUCCAGGUUUAACUUCUGUACAUGUAAAACUUCUAGAUGCUAGUUAACCUUUCUACAGGCUGUGGAAUCUCCUGAGAGAAGACCUGUGUCAGAAAUAGCAAUUGAAGGUAUGUGCAUCACUGAUGUUCCAAGUUGUGUCUCAUGUAAAAUAUAUUUAGCCAUCCUGUGUUAGCAUGGAGGAGGCCUUGUUGUUGGUUCAUGUUCCCCGUGUGCUAAUUUGCAGUCUCCUAAUAAAUAAGAGUCUUUGCCUGAAAGGCCUCAGUCUAAGCCUCCAACCAAGUAUAUGGUUACAUGAAUGCUGAAACCUGCUACUUUGAAUAGUCCCAUUCUUGGAAGUGAGUGGUUUCAGAACUGUCUGUUGUUUUUCUUUAAAAGAAAAAGGGGAGUUUGUGGCUGCAUGGUGGAUUUGUAUGUAAGCUCCCAUAAUUCUGUCAAGUGUUGCCCUUCUUUGAAUGGUCUACUUGGGCUUUACGUGAGCAGUAAAUUCAUCUCUUUCAGGAUGAAGUUAUCAAUUUACUGGGCAUGUCUUAUAAAGCUCCAAGGCUUGUGGACCUGUGGUCAUGGCCAGGAUUUCCAGAUAUCAGCUAACUAUAAAGUCAAACUGUCACAGAACCAGAAAUCCUGUACAAAUACAGAAGAUCUUAAGAAUGUGUUAGGGCAAGAAACCUAAUUGCAUAAAUGAGCAUUUACAGAAUACAGUUCAUCCAGCUGGAUUGUAUGGAAGGAGAGAUCUUCCGAGCCAUCAGUGAAAUGAUGUAGUAGCUAUUUUAAGUCAGCAAUCAUAAUUUUACAAAUGCACAGAAACGAUUCCACGUUUCCCCUGCGUGGGCACCUGCCAGUUCCACUGCAGAAAUGUAAGACUGAAAGAGACAACUUCAGGUCAUCCAGUCCCAGUGCCUACUGUUUCAUCCAACCACAUAAUAGAUCCUCAUAGGAGAAAUGGGAUUUAUGUGUUUCAAAGGUAGUGACACUUUUUUCCUCUGCUACUUCACACAGAACAACUGCUCCAGAUCAUCACUUCUCUGAUGGUUAGAAGUGCAGUUAUGCAGAUUAACUUACAUGCAUUUUGUUUGGAUAUCUUGUGUGUAGGUAGCAAUGCUGUAUAUGUGUAUGUAUAUAUAUGAUAUAUUGUAUGCAUUUAAUAAAUAUGUGCUCUGGAUAGGGCUUGUUUUGUUUUUUCAGUCUCCACUUGUGAAACAGACUCUCUGCUUCUUGGUCACUCUCAUAUCUUUUCACUGCAUCUCUUCCCAUUAGUACUUUUAUUCUUAAUCAUAAUAAGCCUAAGAAGUUCCAUGUGCAAAAGCAUUGUUACUUCCCCAUGUCUUCUGGAAAGUCCUGGGUGAUUUAAAUUUUAGGAUUGUAUUUAACUUUCUCUACCAAAAUCAUAUUAAUGACUCUUUAUCAUCCUUCAAUUAGUUAUUAUUCCAAUUUCUCCUGUCAACUUUUGAUUUAUAACUUUUUGGUUUAUGGCAGAAAUUAUUUCCAAAUGAUGAAUUUGCCACUUGUACUUCUCAAAUUUUAUUUUAUUAAUUUGUUUUCUUUUUCCUGUCCAGGACUGUUCUGAGUUGUUAUGAAGAAGAAAUUGGUGUACUUGUCAGGGUAAACAUAAAUAAAAAAUGAUUCUUGGCCAUAAAAUGUGUACUAGGGAUCCUGCUAGUAUUCAUGGGAAUGGUGAAUAGUUUUUGUUUUGAGUGCAUGUAGUGUUACAUAGGAUGGGAGUCUUUUUGUUCAAGAUUGACAUGAGGGAUGGCAAAUUGUUUCACAUGUGCCUUUCCAUUACCUUUCAUUGUAAAUGUUUUUCAAUCUUGAAAUGCCAAAUUAAUAUUUGAUAUGCCAGUUAUAAUUUGGCAAGGUUUAUCACAAACAACAAUAGAUUUUAUGUGUUUGUACAAAGCAAGCAAUUAAUCCUAUGGCUUUCAACAUUAAAUAUAAGAUGGCUUGAGAGAGCCACACAAAUAACCAACAUUUCUUAUAAAUUGUGUAAUAGAUGAUAAAUACAGGUUUUGAAAAGUGCAAGAGAGGAAUCCAGAUGGUGGGGUAGUGUAGGAAAGAUCGGUCGCUCAUUUUGGUCAAAAAAGGAAUAUAGACACACAUCCCCCACCCCCCAAAAAAAGUCUGGUGCUUAAUCUGCUUAUAGGGCAGGCUGAUAACUGGAAUGAUGAAGCUGGUAACAAAAGAAAUGUAAUGGGAAAAUGAUCCGCUCAACAUGUAAUUAAUACUAGCAUCUGUCACCAUUUAAUGAAUGCUACACUAAUCAGAAGAUUUUGUCACGUUAGUAAAAUGUUCAGCUACUUACCCUCAAAAGACCAGCCUGGUACGUUCACAAGGCUGCCAUUGUUCUGUGCAGUAUUCUACAUAAGAUCUGCUCCUGUAACAGCCAGGAUAACUGAACUCUCUCAAAUAUGGAACUGCAGAAUUGUGUGUUUGGGCAGAGGUCAGCAUCUGGGUUCUCUAUAACAAAUAUACACAGGACAUGUAGAUGAGCAAACAGUGUAAGUAACUGGGCAAACAGUCCUGAUGAAUGUUCUUGUUCUUUACCCCUCAUUGCUCCUAUUGUUUAGUGUUCGCCUCUACAUCUUCAAUCAGUUUCUGAUUAAAUCAAUACAUUCUGAGCACAGCAAAUUAUUUUGGAUAAUGGCUACUACACUAUUUGCUUAAAAGGUCCUAUAAUUAGUUGUUUCAUUUUAGAAAUAAAGGUUUUUUUCUGGCUUUUUUAGUUGUGAGCAAAGAUUAUGAACCUACAGCACUUAAAUCUUUAAGAACAUUUUUUUUAAAGUCCUUUUUCAAUAAAUAACCCAGUUCUAUGACUGAUCUCUGUAAGUCCUACACUACAAAAAUGCAAACAAACAAAAAACCACCACCACAUCAACAACAUAACCCAAAAAAAUUUUUUUUAAAUUAAGAAAAAAAAAUAACACCAAAAAAAUCCUCACACCAAAACAAAAAACCCCACCAAAUUACCAUUUUCCAUUUUAGGAGACAUUAAUAAAUGAUCGUUGUAGUGGUUGUGGGCUGGCUGAUUUUCAGUUGUGAGUACCUUCAUGCUUUAUUAAACCUGCAAGGAUACCUCGUCCAUUUGGGAAAAAGGUACUAUAAAGUUAACUGCUAUGUCUUGGGCUUGUUUUUAAGUCUUUAUGAUAACAUUUGAUAUGUAACCUAUUUGAUUGACAGCAGAUGCCAUUCGAAGUGCUUAAGCCAGAUGGAUGGAGGGGGGGGAGGAAUUAACAGAUGUUCUAAUAGGCAUUGAGCUGAAAUUAAUUUCAUGUUACACAAAACAAUUUUUUGAAAGAUAAGUCUUAUUUUAAGUAAAGAUUUGUGGGAGAUGAACCUUUUUCAAAAUUCUACUCCUUUUUUUGCAUUUGAAACAUGAACGAUGCCAGUUAUUACCUACCUGGACCAAUUCUAUUCAAGUCUCUUCUUUGACUUUUCAAACAGAGAUUUGUGUUCUUAACAAAAAAAAGAGCAUAGAAAUUUCUCAAGAGGGAGUUUAAAAAAAUUAUAUUUUUAUUAUGAGCUAUUUGUAUGGAGGACUUCAACUGCAUAGAACUAGGAACUUCUUGUUGAUGUUUUAAAUUAGAAAUAUUUCAAGUAUAGCUUGAUGAGACCAGGAGAAGGCAGCCAUUUUGUACCAGCUCAGGAAAUGCUCUGCUAUGCUGAAAAGGUAUAUUUCCAAAAGAAUCAAACAUUUUCAUGGUAAUGGUAUUACACAGUAUUAAGCAGUAAUUAUCAGGAGAAUGUUUGUUAAGCCUAAAAUACAUAGGGAAAUCUCCUUUGCAUUUUUGCUGUCUCUAAUUCAGGCAUCAAAGUAAACAGUAGAGCUGCUGCUUGGAAAAUGGAGACAGUUUCUCUGGGGAAAUAAUGCUGCACUGGAAAAACAUGAAUAUUGUUGUCAGGUGUCUGUCCAAAGCUAAAAUAAGUUGAUUUAGCAGUGCCGUGACGUGUUGUGGUUUGGAUGCCUGAUGGUACCUCUCACUUCUUCCAUGAUGUGCCACCUCUGAAUGUAUGCAGUGGCUAGAUCUUAUCCAUAAGGUUUUGGGAAAGAUUUGGGAAUUCUUUGGUCAUGCUGCAGUAUUGAAGAUGUAAUACAGCAGAAGAACUGACAUAGGAAAAUUUGGACUUUUAACAACUGAAAUGCAAUUUGUGAUGUGUUGCACUGGCAAUGCUGGAAUUUCAGGGCUUUCCUUAUUAGUGGAGCAAGAUUUCUCUAAAGAAGGCAUCACAUACAGCAAUGUAAAUGGUGGGUUUUUACCUUCCCAGAAGACUCAUUUCUCUUUUUUGGAAGGUGGUUGUUUUGGCUUUUUUUUCCCCACAAACAUUACCAAAUGCUUAACUCUGUGAAACAUUCAUUUAUUGAUUUGAAAUUAGAUAUAUAACUGAUAUAGGAUGAUUAUUACUUGUGAAGUUGAGUUCUUAGUUAACCCUAUGAUAAUGCAGUGCUGUCAUGUGGGUUUAUAAAAUUCUUUUUCAGUAGUGUUUGAGCUGUCAUUUGAAGAUGUGUUGGAAUAUUCUCAUACCAGUUUCAAUUAAGGUAUGUUAAAGAUGAUAAAGUAAUCUUAGUUAAUUCACUAUUACUCUGGUUUUACUAUAUCACUGGUAGCCUAGAGUGUAUUGGGUUUUGUCUACUUACAACUAGUCUUUAAUAUACAGAUAGCAGGAUCUCACAGAAUUGCAAUGUUUAAGCUCCAAUUUUGAGUUUUAUGCAUGGUUUUAAUAUUUGUGGCUUUCUUUAGAAGUAUCAUACUUUAUCUAGUCCUCCCUGAUAAGGAUGAUUUUCAGGUCAUGAAGGUGUAAUAGUUUCUCAAGGUAAGCAAUCACGACUACUUUCUGCUUAAUAAUGUGAACAUUUCUUGCUGUAAUCAAGUGAUGUUCACGUGUUCAUUAUUGCUAGUGUUUGUUCUUUAGAAACAAAGAAGACUGAGUUAUAUUUUUUGCUUGCCUUACUUAGGUAAUAAAUCCUUAUCAAUCUUGUUCUCUGUGUUGGGAUACUUCAGGAGUAAUUCUACUUUUGUGUUACCAAAGCUCUGGGAAAACCAAGGAAGAAAGAUACUAAAAUAGGAAUAAACCAGCUUUGGUAGACAUCAUCUUAUUGAAUCAUCAUCUCAUUUAAUCAUCAUUUUAUUUGAGUAAGUCGUCCAGGGAGGUGCUGGAAUCACCGUCUCUGUAAGUGUUCAAGAGGUGUCUGGAUGUGACAGUUGGACAAUGAUUUCAGGAUGAUUAUGGUGGUGCUGGAUUGAUGGUUGGACUGGAUAAUCUUGAAGGUCUUUUCUGGCCUUGGUGAUUCUGUGAUUCCAUGAUUAUUUACACCUAGGUGGAGGAGGUCUGCUUUCCCAAGAAGUAUAUGAAUCUUGGGAAAGAGGUAUGGUGGGAGGGGGCAGGGUACAAUUAUUUAUCUCUUUUCAAGAAUGAACUUGAGUGGAUCUUCACUUAGAGCCUCAGAUAGGACCAACACAUUCUCUGUGCUUUGCUUAUUAAAAUCUAACACUUCCUACAGCACAAGUGAGAGAUUUUUAGCCCUGCUGAGUUCAUGUGGCCUGCACUUCUAUGUUUAGGUUUGUGUUUGUUCGGUUUGUGUUUCUGAUUCCCUGUUAUAACUUUUGCAACUGAUCAAUUUCAAGUCAACUUGGUAGAAAUAAUACCACCUCCUUAGGCUGCUGGAUAGGUCUGCAAGUGAGCCCUGUUCCAUGGAUGGAAAGGCUGCACAUUCUGAGCUCAAGUGACUGGAUAUAUGCACAAGCCAUGGAAAAAGUUUCAAUCAGCACUCACAGUCCAUGACAAAACCAAUCUUUAAUUCCAGUUAUUACUGUUUGUUUUGACUAGAAGGGGAAUGAGUAUGUCCUGAACUGACAGAAAAUGGACUGCCUGUUGAACUUGGCUCAGGCUCAGAGUCUUUAAAUAUGCUGGGGUUUUGCAGUAGAUGAUCCUAAUUGCUCCAUUAGUUGAAGCAAAAAGUUGUACCACAUUUUAAUGCAUGGCAAAAUUGAUAAUCAUUUUUUUAAAACUUGAGCUUUCAAAGAAGUAGUCUUCUAUAAUUUUUGUUGACCUCUUUUUUUAAAUUUGUCUUAUAAAAGUAGAUUUGAUAUGUGAAUAAGUGCUGGGGAGAAGGAUUCUAGCUUUUUGGUUUUUAUUCAUUGCUUGUAGUGUAAGGUUUUCCUGCAGCAUUUGAUAUUAAUAUGAUGUCACAAUGAAACAUCUGUUUUACGUUACGUGGAUGCAAUGAUUUAGCUAAUUAAAUUAUUCUUAGCAAGCAGUUUUCUACUAUUAUUCUGUGUUUGUAGUAGGUUACAAAUAAUUCAGUAGGUUAUAAAUACGAUCUGCCUGCUUUUUCUUGAAAAGUCUUACUGAUGGUUCAGAGGUUUCCUAUCCUAUAGGAAGUAUUGAAAGCCACAGUUACCAUUCUUUUCUAAAAUGUAGUCAUUUCUUCCUCCUUCUAAAAUUAUCUCUAAAAUUGAGGGGUUCCCCUCUAUUUUUUAUUAAAAUUGUAAAAUAAAAUAAAGCUGUUUUCUUUUUAGAAAAAUGCUGACAUAAAUAGGAGUAUUGCAAGUAUAAAUUACUAUGUUUGUGAGUUGUAUUGUCAUACUGAUAUUAUUUCUGUCCAUAGUUCUUGCUGUUCCACACAGUCAGAUGUUUUUACACCUCCUCACCUCCUGUUAAGAGCUUUGCUGCUCUUAAGUAUUCAUGUAUUAUUAUUUUUCUAUUAAUUCUCCAUAAAUAUAUGUACAUAUAUAUGUACACUGGAAGAAGAGAUAUCUAUAUUCUGGAAUAAUAUUCUAGUUAUCUGUACUGAUUUAUUUGCUACCUGUGGGUUCAAAUAAAAAUCUUCUCACUAGAUCCAUGGUUUGCUGCUAAAUGCCAGUAAAAUGUUUUCCUGUCAAGUAUUGGUAUUUCCUGUCAUUGUCUCCUGGUUUUCAUUUCUAAUAUUUUAUCUCUUUUCAUGUGGUUGGGAUUUUCAGAGAAUUUUUUUAUAAGGUGCCUGAACAUUACUAUUUUACUAAAUUUAUAGGAACUACCAUACAGAUGUAAACAUCCAUGUUUGUUUUGAGAUGUUUUCUGUUCUUUUUGGGAAGUGAAAUAACAUAUCAUUAGUUUAUUUUCAUAAUUUCAUAAAGCCAAGAGGAUAGAGCAAGGUUUUGUAUUUGGUUUUGCAGUGAUGGAAAGUUAAUUGAUGAUAGUGUCAAGCGAGAGAAGAGAGGUCUGCUUAUAUUUCAGGAUGAGUGAACAAUUAGUACAAGUCAUCAAAUGUUCUCCAGCACUCGCAGAAUGAAAAUUUCAUUGAAAACUUAAAACAAAUUAAAUACUAAAUAUACUUUUAAAUAGCCAAACCAGAUCACACUAUUAUUUCCAGAAAUAAAUAAUUUCAAGAAAAACUCAAA